GAUGAAGAACGCAGCGAAAUGCGAUAAGUAGUGUGAAUUGCAGAAUUCAGUGAAUCAUCGAAUCUUUGAACGCACAUUGCGCCCCUCGGUAUUCCGUGGGGCAUGCCUGUUCGAGCGUCAUUUACCCCUCAAGCACUGCUUGGUGUUGGGCGUCUGUCCCGCUUCGCGCGCGGACUCGCCCCAAAGGUAUUGGCAACGGUCGUGCCAGCUUCUCGCGCAGCACAUUGCGCUUCUCGAGGCGGUCGAUCGGCGUCCACGAAGCUCACCUCCACCGUUUGACCUCGGAUCAGGUAGGGAUACCCGCUGAACUUAAGCAUAUCAAUAAGCGGAGGA
Molecule: unclassified non-coding RNA, 333 nt
Filed under: soil metagenome
Description: partial contains 5.8S ribosomal RNA, internal transcribed spacer 2, and large subunit ribosomal RNA
Rfam family: 5.8S ribosomal RNA (bases 1-120)
Source: RNAcentral